Long non-coding RNA from Daktulosphaira vitifoliae (grape phylloxera), 253 nucleotides. RefSeq lists it as uncharacterized. The record is from RefSeq and is a predicted model, not a curated record. The transcript is spliced from 3 exons. Lineage: Eukaryota; Metazoa; Arthropoda; Insecta; Hemiptera; Phylloxeridae.
GUCAAGGUUUGAAAGAUUGGGAUGAGGAAGACGACCCAUGGGUAGAACAUGUACGUUGGUCUCCUAACUGUACUCAUGUAUUGAUAUGUUAAAUAUAUUCAAUAAAACCGUUCCAGUAUCUUUUUCAAGUGUAUCUGUUUUCGUGUAUUUAAUCAAAUCAUUCAAAAUGAAAUUACCAAAAAGUGUCAAAAAUGUAGAACAUCUGGUUGAAUACAUGGAAAGUACUAGAGUGUUAUGUUUUUUUAGAAAUAGC